GUAGUCCACGCCGUAAACGUUGGGCGCUAGGUGUGGGGCUCAUUCCACGAGUUCCGUGCCGCAGCUAACGCAUUAAGCGCCCCGCCUGGGGAGUACGGCCGCAAGGCUAAAACUCAAAGGAAUUGACGGGGGCCCGCACAAGCGGCGGAGCAUGUUGCUUAAUUCGAUGCAACGCGAAGAACCUUACCUAGGCUUGACAUGCACGGAAAUCCUCCAGAGAUGGUGGGUCCGUAAGGGCCGUGCACAGGUGGUGCAUGGUUGUCGUCAGCUCGUGUCGUGAGAUGUUGGGUUAAGUCCCGCAACGAGCGCAACCCUCGUUCUAUGUUGCCAGCACGUAAUGGUGGGGACUCAUAGGAGACUGCCGGGGUCAACUCGGA
RNAcentral lists this ribosomal RNA (377 nucleotides) under uncultured bacterium. RNAcentral describes it as "bacterial SSU rRNA". It matches the Rfam family "Bacterial small subunit ribosomal RNA", at positions 790 to 1167 of the family's 1533-position model. The record is from RNAcentral.